Molecule: long non-coding RNA, 822 nt
Filed under: Homo sapiens (human)
Lineage: Eukaryota; Metazoa; Chordata; Mammalia; Primates; Hominidae
Description: long intergenic non-protein coding RNA 1192
Source: RNAcentral
GUUGCUGGGAGUGGGAAAGAGGUGGCAUCGGCGGUUCAAGACUGAGUUUUCUAUCUCUUCAGUGCCUCUUUCAACAAUGAAGAUCAAACCAGGUUUUGUGCAAAUAUCUGCUGAGUGAACUACUUAUUUGAAAAUACAUCAUUGGUUAAUAUUCCCUUUUGCUCAUUGAAAUCUCAAAGACUACAGACCCCGCACAAGACAUUCUGACAUUCCCGUCUUUGAAAUGAAUGACAGCAAUGAUAAAUAUGGCUCACCUCCAGAGAUACAGAUCUCACAACUUCAUAUUUUUAAUAUAAAUUAUUAAUCUGAGGUGUGGUGCAAUUCCAUUAGAUGAAAGAGAUCUACACAUUCAGAAGCACAUGAUUCUUCCCCCUUCCAUGAUUCCAGUGGCCAAUAGGAAUUCUAAUUGGAACAGACAAAAACCCAAUACAUGUUUAAGCAGUAAAGUAUUCAUCAGGUCACAAAAAGAGGAGCAAGAGGAGCUGACUCUUUAUGUCAUAUCUUGGCCUUGUAAUUUGAUUCUUUGCCAACAUGCAUGGUUUUUCUCCAUAGGCUGUGCAUUGGGACAAACUACAAUAAAGCCAUGCCCUGACUGGAUGUGCCUAACAUUUGUCUGGUGCUUAAAGGAGUUGGCUGCAUGCGUGGAAAUGUUGGAAAGUCACCAAAAAUAGUUCUCCAAGUCAGAAGCGGUGCAAAAGCUGCCUCAGCUCUUGGUGGAUUUUCAAUUUCUCCCAGCCAUCUCUGUUUCGCUAAAGGUUUCUGAAGACAGUGGGUAUGUGGCAAACUUCUGCAAUUCUAUAUUAAGAUAAACUGUUAGAUCAA